UGGGGAAUUUUGGACAAUGGGCGAAAGCCUGAUCCAGCAAUGCCGCGUGUGUGAAGAAGGCCUUCGGGUUGUAAAGCACUUUUGUCCGGAAAGAAAUCCUCUGGGUUAAUACCUCGGGGGGAUGACGGUACCGGAGGAAUAAGCACCGGCUAACUACGUGCCAGCAGCCGCGGUAAUACGUAGGGUGCAAGCGUUAAUCGGAAUUACUGGGCGUAAAGCGUGCGCAGGCGGUUUUGUAAGACGGAUGUGAAAUCCCCGGGCUUAACCUGGGAACUGCAUUCGUGACUGCAAGGCUAGAGUAUGGCAGAGGGGGGUAGAAUUCCACGUGUAGCAGUGAAAUGCGUAGAGAUGUGGAGGAAUACCGAUGGCGAAGGCAGCCCCCUGGGCCAAAUACUGACGCUCAUGCACGAAAGCGUGGGGAGCAAACAGGAUUAGAUACCCUGGUAGUCCACGCCCUAAAACGAUGUCAACUAGUUGUUGGGGAUUCAUUUCCUUAGUAACGUAGCUAACGCGUGAAGUUGACCGCCUGGGGAGUACGGUCGCAAGAUUAAAACUCAAAGGAAUUGACGGGGUCAUAGCUG
Molecule: ribosomal RNA, 581 nt
Filed under: uncultured bacterium
Lineage: Bacteria
Description: partial 16S ribosomal RNA
Rfam family: Bacterial small subunit ribosomal RNA
Source: RNAcentral